GUUCUGUUCAAUUUGGGUGCCGUUUACAGCCAGAUUGGCCUCUCCUUCGAUCGCGCUACUGUUGAGGGGCGUCGCCAGGCCUCGCACGCGUUUAUUGCAGCGGCUGGGGCGUUCGCCUUCUUGAGAGACAAUGCGUCCACCAAAGCGUCGAUUGGUAGCUCUACGACUGUGGAUGUUUCGGUCGAGUGUGUCGGCAUGUUGGAGAGGCUGAUGUUAGCGCAGGCUCAGGAGUGCGUCUUUGAGAAUACGAUUGCGAAAGGCAGUACGCCUGGUGUCUGCGCGAAGAUCUCUCGGCAGGUUGGUUUGUACUACGAGGAAGCUUUAGCAGCCCUCAAUGCUCCACCUCUUAACCAGCAUUUUGAC
This 363-nucleotide unclassified non-coding RNA is filed under the name Hevea brasiliensis (rubber tree). The record is from RNAcentral. Lineage: Eukaryota; Viridiplantae; Streptophyta; Magnoliopsida; Malpighiales; Euphorbiaceae.